AGCUUAUUGAUUUUUAUAAUAAGUGUUUUCUGCCCAAUGUUGACUUAUUAAUGGCCGCGGUAUUCUGACCGUGCGAAGGUAGCGUAAUCAUUUGCCUUUUAAUUGGGGGCCUGUAUGAAAGAAAGUUUGAGGUUUUUGCUGUCUUUUUUAGUUCUAGAAUUUGCUAUUUUUGUGAAGAAGCAAAAGUUUGUUAAAAAGACAAGAAGACCCUUUUAAGCUUAAUUUUUAUCUCCUAUUUUUACUUUUCUUUUAGAGAAAGAUAUAGUUUUUUGGUUAAUAAAAUUUGGUUGGGGUGACUGAAGAAGAUUGAAUCUUCUCUGUUUUUGUGUACUGUGGGUUUAAGAUUGACCCAAAAUUUUUGGUUAGAAAAAUUAGUUACUCAAGGGAUAACAGCGUAAUCUCUUCAGAGAGUUCUUAUUGAAGAAGAGGAUUGCGACCUCGAUGUUGACUUACUUUCUCCUUAUAAGGUGCAGAAGCUGUAAGGGUUGGUCUGUUCGACCAUUAAAAUAGU
Molecule: ribosomal RNA, 511 nt
Filed under: Lineidae sp. Pili_CB041_CB041_18_17
Lineage: Eukaryota; Metazoa; Nemertea; Pilidiophora; Heteronemertea; Lineidae
Description: partial 16S ribosomal RNA
Rfam family: Bacterial large subunit ribosomal RNA
Source: RNAcentral